Molecule: ribosomal RNA, 464 nt
Filed under: Vreelandella stevensii
Lineage: Bacteria; Pseudomonadati; Pseudomonadota; Gammaproteobacteria; Oceanospirillales; Halomonadaceae
Description: partial 16S ribosomal RNA
Rfam family: Bacterial small subunit ribosomal RNA
Source: RNAcentral
CCUACGGUGGCAGCAGUGGGGAAUAUUGGACAAUGGGCGAAAGCCUGAUCCAGCCAUGCCGCGUGUGUGAAGAAGGCCUUCGGGUUGUAAAGCACUUUCAGUGGGGAAGAAAGCCUUGGGGCUAAUACCCUCGAGGAAGGACAUCACCCACAGAAGAAGCACCGGCUAACUCCGUGCCAGCAGCCGCGGUAAUACGGAGGGUGCGAGCGUUAAUCGGAAUUACUGGGCGUAAAGCGCGCGUAGGCGGUUUGAUAAGCCGGUUGUGAAAGCCCCGGGCUCAACCUGGGAACGGCAUCCGGAACUGUCAGGCUAGAGUGCAGGAGAGGAAGGUAGAAUUCCCGGUGUAGCGGUGAAAUGCGUAGAGAUCGGGAGGAAUACCAGUGGCGAAGGCGGCCUUCUGGACUGACACUGACGCUGAGGUGCGAAAGCGUGGGUAGCAAACAGGAUUAGAUACCCGGGUAGUC